Long non-coding RNA from Cyprinus carpio carpio, 814 nucleotides. The record is from Ensembl. Lineage: Eukaryota; Metazoa; Chordata; Actinopteri; Cypriniformes; Cyprinidae.
GCUUUGUAAAAAUCGAGGUGUUUCAGAAAUUAUAGUUAGAUUAGAAGUACAAAACAAGGAUUUAUAAAUAAGAAUGUCAGAGGAGCUAACCCUGACCUCAUACGUUUUUAUUUCACCUCUUUUGGACUGGAGCACUCCAACACCUGUGUGGCAUUAAACAGCUUGAAAGAACAAAGACAAUUUUUAAUAUAACUCCAACUGAAUCGUCUGAAAAAAGAAAGUUAAAUACACCUAGGAUGCCUUGAGGAAUCCCGAUUGGCUGGCUGUCCUUGACCUUUGACCUACAAUGAAGUAACAUUCUUGUUCCCACAUUCCACAGUGAUCUUUGUAGUCUCUGAGAGGUUAUGACCUGUUAUAGCACUGUAACUGUCAGAACAUUUUGUACGUGGGAAAUGGAAAGAGAAGAACAAAGACAAUAGCCCAUAUGUUCCUGUGAGAGGACGACGGAAACAGCCAAUGGAUAACCAUUAGAGGCCCCUCUCUCUGCAUCUUUUACUUCCGUUCAUGCCUCUUACAAUCUUCCUCACUACGUCACUCCAUCACAUUUCUCUUCCUUUAUCUCAACAUUCGCCAUCAAUCAAUACAGCUCACAUGCCUGCGCACAAACACAACACAGAACCUUUCUUCUCCCACUGCGUGCCACAGGGCUGAAUUCCCCAUGUGAUCAGACUAACACAAUCAAACUUAAUGUUAUUUUUCUCUUAUGCAUACACACAUGUAUACAGCUAGCCUUCAAGGCCUGAAACAGAAGCCUCUGCUAUACUACUCAGGCAGACACACCCAAGUAAAACAUGAACUCAUCUCCUUACAAACC